UCUAUGUGUAUAUGAGAUUGUUUUAAGUUGUUGGUCUCUUAAUUGCAAGUGCAUCUCCAGUGUCCUGCAUUUGUACCCACCUCUUCUCAUGAUUUCUGAUUUGGUGGUGUAAUUGUGCAUGGAUGAUUUCCGAUCUUUACUGUGUCUAUACCUUUACUGGUGAGCCUUGUCAUUUGUGGAAUGUUUGUUUCCUGUUGAUGUCUUUUCUUUUCUGCCUAGAGAAGAUCCUUUGGUAUUUGUUGUAAGGCUGGUUUAGUGUUGCUGUGUUCUCUCAACUUUUGCUUAUCUGUAAAGGUUUUGCUUUCUCCUUCAAAUCUGAAUGAGAGCCUUGCUGGGUAGAGUAAUCUUGGUUGGAGGUUUUUUCCUUUCGUCACGUGAAGUAUAUCAUGCCACUCCCUCCUGGCCCGCAGAGUUCUGCGGAAAAAUCUGCUGAUAACUUUAUUGGGGUUCCCUUGUCUGUUACUAGUUUCUUUUCCCUGGCUGCUUUCAAGAUUUUCUCUUUGUCUUUAAUUUUGGUCAGUUUGAUUAAUAUGUGUCUCGGGGGUGUUCCUCCUUGGGUUUAUUUUAUAUGGUACUCGUUGUGCUUCCUGGAUUUGAGUGAGUGGUUCCUUUCCUAUGUGAGGGAAGUUUUUGGCUAUUAUCUCUUGGAAUAUUUUUUCUGUCCCCUUCUCUCUCUCUUCGCCUUCUGGCACCCCUGUAAUAGGGAUGUUGGUGUGUUUCACGUUGUCCCAGAGUCCUCUGAGACUCUCUUCAUUUCUUUCCAAUCUUUUUUCUCUUUUCUGUUCUGCAUCUGUAAUUUCCACUAAUCUGUCCUCCACCUUGCUUAUAUAUUCGUUCUUCUGCCUCCUGUAUUCUGCUGUUAGCUGCUUCUAGUGAAUUUUUUGUUUCAGUUAUUGUAUUUUGCAUCUUUUCUUGCUUAAGUUUUAUAUCUUGUAUCUCUUUGGUCAGUGUUUCCUGUGCAUUAUCCAUCUUUGCCUCCAGUUUAUUUCCAAUGUCUUGCAUCAUCUUCAGCAUCAAUAGUCUGAAGUCUUUUUCCUGGAGGCUGAAUCUCCUCAUCACUUAGCUGAUUUUCUGGGUUUUUUCUUUUCUCCCUCAUCUGAGUUAUAGUUCUCCGUCUUUUCAUUUUUUUAGGUUUUUGGUGUGGUGACCUUCUUACAGAUAAUAGAGUUGUAGCCUCUCUUACUUCUGGUGUCUGCCUUGCUUGUGGCUGAAGUCAGUAUGGGGGCUUGCUGUAGGCUUCCUGAUGGGAGGGGCUGAAACCUGCCCACUGGUAGGUGGAGCUGAUUCUAACCCCUCUGGUGGGUGGGGCUUAGUCUCUGGAUGGGAUUAGAGGCUGCUGUGUGCCUGAGGGGUCUUUAGGUAGCCUGUUUACUGAGGGGCAGGGCUGUGAUCCCACCUGGGUUGUUGUUUGCCCUGGGGCUUCUCAGUGCUGACUGAUUUUCCCAAAAUGGCCACCUCCAGAGAAAGGCACGCUGCUGAGUAUUCCCGAGAGCUUUGCCUUCAAGGUCCUUCCCUCACAACCAGCCACAUUCACCCCUGUUUUCCCAGGAUGUCGUCCAAGAACUGCAGUCAGGUUUGACCCAGAUUCCUGUGGAGACCUUGCUCUGCCCUGGGACCUAGUGCACGUGAAAGUCUGUGUGGGCCUCUUAAGAAUGGGGUCUCCGUUUCCUCCAGUCCUGUGGAGCUCUUGCGCACAGGCCCCGCUGGCCUUCAAUGCCAGAUGCUCUGGGGGCUCUUUCUCCCAGUGCCAGAUCCCCGCACAUGAGGGUUUGAUGUGGGGCUCAGAACUCUCAUUCUUGUGGGUGAGUCUCUGAGAACCAGUUAGUUUUCAGUCUGUGGAGCUUCCCACCCAGGAGGUAUGGGGUUGUUUAUAUGGUGAAAUCACCCCUCCUACCUGUGGAUGUGGCCUCCUCUUUUUCUUCUGGAGUAGGGCAUCUUUUUUAAGGUUUCUGGUCCAUUUGGGUGGCGAUUGCUCAGUCUUUAGUUGUGAAUUUUGUUGUUUUUAGGAGAGAAGUUGAGCUCUAGUCCUUCUAUUCUGCCAUCUUAAUCCUCUCUCAACUCCACAGUUUUUGUGUAUUUUUUUGCAUUUACUAAUAUGAACAUAAAGUUUUUCUCCUACAUUUGGUAAUCAUCCUUUCUUUCUUUCUUUCCUUUCCUUUCUUUUCCUUUUUAGGGCUGCGCCCACAGCAUAUGGAAGUCCCCAGUCUAGGGGUUGAAUUGGAGCUACAGCUGCUGGCCUACACCACAGCCACAGCAAUGAGGGCUCCUUAACCCACUGAGCAAGGCCAGGGAUUGAACCUGUGUCCUCAUGGAUACUAGUCUGGUUCGUUACUGCUGAGCCACAAUGAAAACUCCUGGUAAUCAUAUUUUCAAUUAUUAAAUACUCUAUUCAUGCCACAAACCCUGCUUGUAUGUCCCUGAAAUUAUGAAAUGUACUUCUUUAUGAGUUUUUUUGUCUAUGUUCAGGAGGGAUACUGGUGUCCGGUUUUCUUUUUAAUUGAUAUAUCACUGUAAUACUUAUAAAGUAUUAGCAGGCAAGCUGGAAACCACAAUGCCUUCCAUCAUUUAACUUCAAAAGUGACACAAAGUUAUUUUUGUAGUGUUCUAUCUGUUACUCAGGUCACUUGGUUCAGAGUGGGACUGUGUAACACAAUUACAUGAAUAUCAGAAGGUGAAGAUGACUGAAAGUCAUUUUGGAAGCUGGCUACCACAUAUUAUAAAAAGAUUUUAACAGUGCACUUCCAUUGUUUCUCUCCUGUCCUUUGUGUUAGCGUUAUCAUACAUUUUACAUGUUUUAAAUCCUAGAGUACAAUGUUAUUAUUUUAAUUUUUUCUUUAAAUAAUCAGUUAUCACUGAAAUAAAUUAAAAACGAGUUUUAUACAGUAUCUAUCUUCAUAUUUAUCAUUUCCCCCACUCUUCAAGCCUUUCCAUCAAACAUCAUUUUGUUUCCACUUAACAGACCUUCUUUUAUCAGGUCUCCUGCUGAAAAAUGACACCAUCUUCUGUUUUUCUGAAUAAGGCUUUACUUUGCCUUAAUUUUGGAAAAGUAUUUUCACUGCUUAUGGAAUUCUAGUUUGGCCAUUUCUUUUCUUUAAAUGCUUUAAGGGUGUUGCUCCCUUGUCCUUUGGCUGGCAUAUUUUGGAUGUACAAUUGACGUUACAUUACUUUCAGGUAUACAAUAUAAUGAUUUGAUAUUUAUGUCGCUUGCGGUAUUUUAGAAGUAAGUAACUUUUUAUUUAUUUAUUUAUUUAUUUACUUAUUUAUUAGGUCCGAUCCCACUGCAUGUGGAGGUUCCCAGGCUUGGGGUCCAAUUGGAGAUGUAGCCGCUGGCCUACGUCAGAGCCACAGCAAUGCUAGAUCCAAGCCGCAUCUUUGACCUACACCACAGCUUAUGGCAAUGCCGGAUUCUUAACCCACUGAGAGAAGCCAGGGAUCGAACAUGCAUUCUCAUGGAUACUAGUUGGGUUCUUUAACUGCUGAGCCACGACGUGAACUUCAUUUUUUUUUAAGAUUCGCAUUAAAAAAAAUACAUACAUAAAAGCCAUGUAUGUAAUGUGUCUUUACAUUACACAGGAACAUUUUUUUUGUUUGCAUUAAAAAA
This 3601-nucleotide long non-coding RNA is filed under the name Sus scrofa (pig). Its description in RNAcentral is "lncRNA (ENSSSCG00060002230.1, ENSSSCG00180026823.1)". Lineage: Eukaryota; Metazoa; Chordata; Mammalia; Artiodactyla; Suidae. The record is from RNAcentral.